AAAUAGAACUUUGCAGAGAGAGUUAACAGGGCGUGAAACCGUUAAUUGGCAAACGAAUCGGAGCCACGAAGUCGUUUCGCUGUUGUUUGGGGUUCAGUUUAGCUAGAGAUAGCUGGGCGUAUUCCUCGAGCAACCUUGUAAGCGUACACUGCAACCAGUUAGACGAUUGGUGAUGGGCCCAGUUGGCGGAACAUCUAGGUGUCCCGUUGACGCAGCAUCUGUCUGCCCAGGUUAGUAGUAGCGUGUGUGAGCUUCGGCUUGCUCGCGUUGCUGGACUUGUGGCGGGUGAACUAUACACCAAAGACUGACUGGCAAAAUGAAAAUCGCGUUAGCGCGUAGAGAAAGCGGCGCCUGUACUGGCGGCUACAUGCCGGACCAUGUAGUUAUAGUUCGGCAGCUUUGAAUUUGGACUUGCUCGCUACCAGUGGGGCAACCCCUGGUGCUUGUAUAGCUUCCAUCUAAUCGGCUGUUGACUUGGCUGCAUGUCGUUCUUGUAUGAAACGAUUGGUCGCCAGUACAAGGUGACUCGCCAACUUAUUGGCAGUGAGUAGGUCGGCUUUCCGAACGACCCGUCUUGAAACACGGACCAAGGAGUCUAAUUAGGCAUCAGUCGAUCGGUCUUGAUUAGGCCAGACUGUAGUUCUCACGAACUGCGAUUGAAGGCGUAGAGAAAUCAAAUCAUGUGAUGGCCCCUAAGAAGGCCCGCAACAUGUGCCUGUUGCGCCGUGUGUAGCAAUACCACAGCAGCGGAGCAAAGAGAUGCCUGAUUGGUACCCGAAAGAUGGUGAACUAUGCUUGGGCAAAUUGAAGCCAGAGGAAACUCUGGUGGAGGAUUGUAGCGAUUCUGACGUGCAAAUCGAUCGUCAGACCUGAGUAUAGGGGCGAAAGACUAAUCGAACCAUC
Molecule: ribosomal RNA, 903 nt
Filed under: Bariella spinishieldis
Lineage: Eukaryota; Metazoa; Arthropoda; Arachnida; Trombidiformes; Eriophyidae
Description: eukaryotic LSU rRNA
Rfam family: Eukaryotic large subunit ribosomal RNA
Source: RNAcentral